CCUACGGGAGGCAGCAGUGAGGAAUAUUGGUCAAUGGGCGGGAGCCUGAACCAGCCAAGCCGCGUGAGGGAAGAAGGUACAGCGUAUCGUACACCUCUUUUGUCGGGGAGCAAAAGACGCCACGCGUGGCGUUCCGAGAGUACCCGAAGAAAAAGCAUCGGCUAACUCCGUGCCAGCAGCCGCGGUAAUACGGAGGAUGCGAGCGUUAUCCGGAUUUAUUGGGGUUAAAGGGUGCGCAGGCGGAAGAUCAAGUCAGCGGUAAAAUUGAGAGGCUCAACCUCUUCGAGCCGUUGAAACUGGUUUUCUUGAGGGAGCGAGAAGUAUGCGGAAUGCGGGGUGUAGCGGGGAAAGGCAUAGAUAUCACGCAGAACUCCGAUUGCGAAGGCAGCAUACCGGCGCUCAACUGACGCUCAUGCACGAAAGUGUGGGUAUCGAACAGGAUUAGAUACCCGGGUAGUC
Molecule: ribosomal RNA, 459 nt
Filed under: uncultured bacterium
Lineage: Bacteria
Description: partial 16S ribosomal RNA
Rfam family: Bacterial small subunit ribosomal RNA
Source: RNAcentral